ACAAAGGCUCUUCUAAGAGCCACCCACCCACUCCCUAUAAGAUCUGU
Xenopus tropicalis (tropical clawed frog) is the source of this 47-nucleotide non-coding RNA. Lineage: Eukaryota; Metazoa; Chordata; Amphibia; Anura; Pipidae. The record is from Rfam.